GUCGGGAUAGCUCAGCUGGYAGAGCAGAGGACUGAAAAUC
This 40-nucleotide transfer RNA is filed under the name Achyranthes aspera. Its description in RNAcentral is "partial tRNA-Phe". Lineage: Eukaryota; Viridiplantae; Streptophyta; Magnoliopsida; Caryophyllales; Amaranthaceae. The record is from RNAcentral.